This 863-nucleotide ribosomal RNA is filed under the name uncultured bacterium. Its description in RNAcentral is "bacterial SSU rRNA". It matches the Rfam family "Bacterial small subunit ribosomal RNA", at positions 28 to 896 of the family's 1533-position model. The record is from RNAcentral.
GACGACCGCUGGCGGUGCGCCUUAUGCAUGCAAGUCGAGCGAAGCUUUUCUGUAGUUUACUACAGAAAAUGACUGAGCGGCGAACGGGUGAGUAACGCGUGAGCAAUCUACCUUAGUUACAGGGAUAGCCCGAGGAAACUCGGAUUAAUACCUGAUAUUCUUUUUUUCUCGCAUGAGUUUUAAAGGAAAGGUCAGCCGAACUAAGAUGAGCUCGCGUUCUAUCAGCUAGUUGGUGAGGUAAUAGCUCACCAAGGCAACGACGGAUAGCUGGUCUGAGAGGACGAUCAGCCACACUGGGACUGAGACACGGCCCAGACUCCUACGGGAGGCUGCAGCAGGGAAUAUUGUGCAAUGAGCGAAAGCUUGACACAGCGACACCGCGUGUGGGAUGACGGAUCUAGGUUUGUAAACCACUUUCAGGAGGGAAGAAAAUGACGGUACCUCCAUAAGAAGCCCCGGCCAACUACGUGCCAGCAGCCGCGGUAAUACGUAGGGGGCGAGCGUUGUCCGGAUUUAUUGGGCGUAAAGAGCUCGUAGGCGGUUCAACAAGUCGGUCGUGAAAGUUCAGGGCUCAACCCUGAAAUGUCGAUCGAUACUGUUGUGGCUAGGAUACGGUAGAGGUGAGUGGAAUUCCGAGUGUAGCGGUGAAAUGCGUAGAUAUUCGGAGGAACACCAAUUGCGAAGGCAGCUCACUGGGCCGCUAUCGACGCUGAGGAGCGAAAGCUAGGGGAGCAAACAGGAUUAGAUACCCUGGUAGUCCUAGCUGUAAACGAUGGAUACUAGACGUAGGAACUGGAUUGACGGUUUCUGUGUCGUAGCUAACGCGUUAAGUAUCCCGCCUGGGGAGUACGGUCGCAAGACUA